GACGAACGCUGGCGGCGUACUUAACACAUGCAAGCCGUACGGUAAGGCCCUUUCGGGGGUACACGAGUGGCGAACGGGUGAGUAACACGUGAGUAACCUGCCCACAACUUUGGGAUAACGCUAGGAAACUGGUGCUAAUACUGGAUAUGUGCUCCUGCUGCAUGGUGGGGGUUGGAAAGCUCCGGCGGUUGUGGAUGGACUCGCGGCCUAUCAGCUUGUUGGUGGGGUAGUGGCCUACCAAGGCGGCGACGGGUAGCCGGCCUGAGAGGGUGACCGGCCACAUUGGGACUGAGAUACGGCCCAGACUCCUACGGGAGGCAGCAGUGGGGAAUAUUGCACAAUGGGCGCAAGCCUGAUGCAGCAACGCCGCGUGCGGGAUGACGGCCUUCGGGUUGUAAACCGCUUUCAGCAGGGACGAAGCUUUUUGUGACGGUACCUGCAGAAGAAGCACCGGCUAACUACGUG
Molecule: ribosomal RNA, 465 nt
Filed under: uncultured bacterium
Lineage: Bacteria
Description: partial 16S ribosomal RNA
Rfam family: Bacterial small subunit ribosomal RNA
Source: RNAcentral